UUGACAGAGAGAGAGAGCAAGAACAAGCAGGGGGAGCAGCAGAAGGAGAGAGAGAAGGCGGCUCUCUGCUGAAUAGGACGCCUGAUGAGGGGCUCGAUCCUAUGACCCUGGGAUCAUGACCUGAGCUGAGGGCAGACGCUUAACCAACUGAGCCACCCAGGCGCCCUUCUUUUUCUAAUAUCUUAAGGUUGAAGGGCUUCAUGCAGAUAAGGAAUUUCUUCUCUCAGAGGGACCACUGUUAAUUAGAAAUAUAAUAUAAGAAGCAUCUUUAUCACAAAAAAAGUGAGAAGCAAGAAGAAGAUGGAUGACAUAUAGAUGAAAGACAAGCAGCAUAGGAAGAGAACUUCUAGCCUUGACCAUGAGUUGUGUGACCU
Molecule: non-coding RNA, 374 nt
Organism: Callorhinus ursinus (northern fur seal)
Lineage: Eukaryota; Metazoa; Chordata; Mammalia; Carnivora; Otariidae
Source: RefSeq, a predicted model, not a curated record